UCGGCAGCUCGCGUUGUUCGUCCAUGCGGCGCGGAGCGCGUGUACGUGCAGUCCUCGAAGCUGAACCAUGGUAGCCGGGAGGCUCACAAGAAGGGAAGCGACAAAGGGAGCUCCACCCCAUGUGGAGAACAGGAACGUUGCUGAAGCCAUAAAAAACUGGGCGGUGCAGUCCGUCGAGGCAUCUUUUGAAGCUCACUUCAUUUUGUUUUAUAGCUCGCCGUGGACUAAAAAAUGAGCCAAGUUUCCUCGCGCGACGCCGUUCAGUUCGGCAAGCCGUGGCAUGCAGUGCGCUGGCAUGGAUUGCAGCGCUGGCAUCUUCAUCUUCCCCAGUUCGUCUCAAAAAAGGGGUGUAGUGCAGGAGAUGCCAAAACGACAUCUUCCUGUUCAGUUUUUUGAUUUUGGGCAGAUGUUCAAAUGAAGUUCAGUUUUUGCAGCCCACAUUCAGCGGUGUGAGCAGCUCCCAAGUGCAGUUUGAAGUCCGCAGUGCACUCCGGUGGGGGCAAAGCAUUGUGCAGGCCGAGAAGUGGACGAGACGAGACGAGCCUGGUGGUUCUUGCAGUUUCUAUUGGGUGCGAUGUGAUUCACACCGUGUGGGUCGCGGCAUGCGGUUCCGAGUGGAUGUUGGUGAAGUCGUGUUUGUGUGUGUGUGUUUCAGUCAUGUGUAUAUAAUUUCUUUUUCUCUGUUAUUAUGUGGAUGUUUGCUUGUGCAAACUUAUAUUAAAUGUGUCUUUUCUUUA
Molecule: long non-coding RNA, 737 nt
Organism: Aegilops tauschii subsp. strangulata
Lineage: Eukaryota; Viridiplantae; Streptophyta; Magnoliopsida; Poales; Poaceae
Source: RefSeq, a predicted model, not a curated record